CCGAACGGCCGCGGAAGCCACCGCCGCCGAUCUAACGAUCGCUUGCUCGGGCCACCACUCGUCACGCCUAAAAAAGGACGUGAGUGGCGGGGACGACGGCAAAGUGCGUUGCGCCGCCGGAUCGGAUGAGGCCGACGCCGCCGCCUUCGUCGUCGUCUUCACCGUUCACCGGUCACCGCUCGUAGUUCGUACUUGGCUUGGGCACUCCGUCGUCGUCCGCCGGGCGACGGCUCUCGAUAUCUCAGUCGCGGCGCUCCCGCACUCGCACGCUCAAACGUACGUUCCACGUACGCACGUCUUCGCCGCCGCCGCCUUCGUCCUACAGCACAAGGCACAACGUUUGCGGUCACGCACGUACGGGAUCGCGCGCGCGCACGUAAGCUCUGCCCGCGGUGCGCACCGUUGUUAUGUUGUUAUGCGAUUCGAGUCGACUAGUCGACGCCGAGGACGGAUUUUUCACACACACCGGACGACGGCGUUACAACGACACUUUUUUACCCUUUUAUCUGUCCAUAUUUUUUCGCUUUCACAUCAUUCUACAACUCUAUCGUCCAAUCGCGUCGUCGCUCGUUUUUAACACUCCGUCGUCGUCGUUCAUGUCAAGCAGUUUAAUAAUAUUAUAUUUUAUAGUUUAUAACUCGAACUUGUACAACAUUAUUGCGGUGGUUUCCGCAUGCAUUUUAAGGAUGUCGAAUAAAAACGACCCUCGGACGAUAAUCUGUUAAACCGUAAUCGUGUAAUCGUCAUCACAGUCGGCGACAAUAUGGCGUCGGGCGUCGGCCACUUAUCGUAUCGGUAGAGCAAAAAAAAAAAGCGGUCGAUCUUAGGCGAUAUCUGCUAUAUCGUGUGGUUUUGGGCUCAUUCUUACUUAUUAUUACCAUUAUUGUUUAUUUAAUACGACGUUUCAAUGUUUGGGUUCGUGUUUUUGUGCGACAGGUUUUUUUCCGAAGGCUCCCCAAAAUCAUGGUCACCAGGACGCGGCCGCACAUUCCAGCAGGUAAACCGAGACGACAAACAUUGUGUGAGGAGACGGCAAAUGUUUUCGUGUCGGGUGUGUGGGCACCACCCCGUGUAGGUACCCAGCAAAAAAUGUAUUAGGUAUAAUAUUAUGUUUCAAGCAGAGAGAGAGAAUACGACCCAAUAAUUUAUAACAUACACUGAAUAUAAUAUGUAGGUACCGGCAAUGUACCCGAUGGCAUUCGAUGUUAUAAGAUAGGAGACGGACGAAAAGUUAAUAAUAUAUUUAAAAACCUGCUAAUUCGUCGUGUUAUGUAAAUUUUAACGAAGCCGGCUGAAUUUCCGCCGUAAAGACUCGUGAGGUGGUGUAUUCGCCUCGUUCGGAAAGGCGUUUCGUGUAAGUAAAUUAUACACCUGAGUGUUCGGCGGGAGGAGAGCCUUAAAAAACAAAAA
Long non-coding RNA from Metopolophium dirhodum (rose-grain aphid), 1410 nucleotides. RefSeq lists it as uncharacterized. The record is from RefSeq and is a predicted model, not a curated record. The transcript has 2 exons. Lineage: Eukaryota; Metazoa; Arthropoda; Insecta; Hemiptera; Aphididae.